UACGAAGGGUGCAAACGUUGCUCGGAAUUAUUGGGCGUAAAGAGCUCGUAGGCGGUUCGUCGCGUCGGCUGUGAAAACCCGGGGCUCAACUCCGGAUCUGCGGUGGGUACGGGCAGACUAGAGUGAUGUAGGGGAGACUGGAAUUCCUGGUGUAGCGGUGAAAUGCGCAGAUAUCAGGAGGAACACCGAUGGCGAAGGCAGGUCUCUGGGCAUUAACUGACGCUGAGGAGCGAAAGCAUGGGGAGCGAACAGG
Molecule: ribosomal RNA, 253 nt
Filed under: uncultured bacterium
Lineage: Bacteria
Description: partial 16S ribosomal RNA
Rfam family: Bacterial small subunit ribosomal RNA
Source: RNAcentral